This 798-nucleotide small RNA is filed under the name uncultured Glomus. RNAcentral describes it as "SSU rRNA". It matches the Rfam family "Eukaryotic small subunit ribosomal RNA", at positions 314 to 1114 of the family's 1831-position model. The record is from RNAcentral. Lineage: Eukaryota; Fungi; Glomeromycota; Glomeromycetes; Glomerales; Glomeraceae.
AUCAACUUUCGAUGGUAGGAUAGAGGCCUACCAUGGUGGUAACGGGUAACGGGGUGUUAGGGCACGACACCGGAGAGGGAGCCUGAGAAACGGCUACCACAUCCAAGGAUGGCAGCAGGCGCGCAAAUUACCCAAUCCCGACACGGGGAGGUAGUGACAAUAAAUAACAAUACGGGGUUCUUUAGGAUCUCGUAAUUGGAAUGAGUACAAUUUAAAUCUCUUAACGAGGAACAAUUGGAGGGCAAGUCUGGUGCCAGCAGCCGCGGUAAUUCCAGCUCCAAUAGCGUAUAUUAAAGUUGUUGCAGUUAAAAAGCUCGUAGUUGAAUUUCGGGAUCAAUUUAUUGGUCGUGCUAUUGUACGUACUGGUAUUAUUGAUUCCUACCUUCUGACGAACCAUGAUGUCAUUAAUUUGGUGUCUUGGGGAAUCAGGACUGUUACUUUGAAAAAAUUAGAGUGUUUAAAGCAGGCUCACGCUUGAAUACAUUAGCAUGGAAUAACGAAAUAGGACGUUUGAUUCUAUUUUGUUGGUUUCUAGGAUCGACGUAAUGAUUAAUAGGGAUAGUUGGGGGCAUUAGUAUUCAAUUGUCAGAGGUGAAAUUCUUGGAUUUAUUGAAGACUAACUACUGCGAAAGCAUUUGCCAAGGAUGUUUUCAUUAAUCAAGAACGAAAGUUAGGGGAUCGAAGACGAUCAGAUACCGUCGUAGUCUUAACCAUAAACUAUGCCGACUAGGGAUCGGAUGAUGUUAAUUUUUUAAUGACUCAUUCGGCGCCUUACGGGAAACCAAAGUGUUUGGGUUC